CAAUAGCGUAUAUUAAAGUUGUUGCGGUUAAAAAGCUCGUAGUUGGAUUUCUGUCUGGGACGACCGGUCUACUCUCUGAGUAAGCAUCUGGUCCGUUUCGGGCAUCCUCGUGGGGAACGUAUCCUGCUUAACUGUGGGGUGCGGAAUCUGCGACUUUUACUUUGAGGAAAUUAGAGUGUUCACUGCAGGCAAUCGCCUUGAAUACAUUAGCAUGGAAUAAUAAGAUAGGACCUUAGUUCUAUUUUGUCGGUUUCUAGAGCUGAGGUAAUGAUUAACAGGGAUAGUUGGGGGCAUUCGUAUUUAACUGUCAGAGGUGAAAUUCUUGGAUUUGUUAAAGACGAACUACUGCGAAAGCAUUUGCCAAGGAUGUUUUCAUUGAUCAAGAACGAAAGUUAGGGGAUCGAAGAUGAUCAGAUACCAU
RNAcentral lists this ribosomal RNA (421 nucleotides) under uncultured eukaryote. Its description in RNAcentral is "SSU rRNA". It matches the Rfam family "Eukaryotic small subunit ribosomal RNA", at positions 592 to 1018 of the family's 1831-position model. The record is from RNAcentral.